Acanthosepion pharaonis is the source of this 113-nucleotide non-coding RNA. NCBI's taxonomy places the organism in Eukaryota, Metazoa, Mollusca, Cephalopoda, Sepiida, Sepiidae. The record is from the annotation of a GenBank genome assembly.
UUACGGCCAUACCAUGUUGAAACACCAGUUCUCGUACGACCACCAAAGUUAAGCAACGUCGAACAUGGCCAGUACCUAGAUUGGUUACCGCUUGGUUAUACGAGGUGCAGUAA